GGCUCAUUAAAUCAGUUAUCGUUUAUUUGAUAGUACCUUACUACAUGGAUACCUGUGGUAAUUCUAGAGCUAAUACGUGCUAAAAACCUCAACUUCGGAAGGGGUGUAUUUAUUAGAUAAAAAACCAAUGCCUUUCGGGGCUCUCUGGUGAUUCAUAAUAACUUGUCGAAUCGCAUGGCCUUGCGCCGGCGAUGGUUCAUUCAAAUUUCUGCCCUAUCAACUUUCGAUGGUAGGAUAGUGGCCUACCAUGGUGGCAACGGGUAACGGGGAAUUAGGGUUCGAUUCCGGAGAGGGAGCCUGAGAAACGGCUACCACAUCCAAGGAAGGCAGCAGGCGCGCAAAUUACCCAAUCCCGAUCCGGGGAGGUAGUGACAAUAAAUACUGAUACAGGGCUCUUUCGGGUCUUGUAAUUGGAAUGAGUACAAUUUAAACCCCUUAACGAGGAACAAUUGGAGGGCAAGUCUGGUGCCAGCAGCCGCGGUAAUUCCAGCUCCAAUAGCGUAUAUUAAAGUUGUUGCAGUUAAAAAGCUCGUAGUUGAACCUUGGGCCUGGCUGGCCGGUCCGCCUCACGGCGUGCACUGGUCCGGCUGGGCCUUUCCUUCUGGGGAACCCCAUGGCCUUCACUGGCUGUGGGUGGAACCAGGACUUUUACUGUGAAAAAAUUAGAGUGUUCAAAGCAGGCCUUUGCUCGGAUACAUUAGCAUGGAAUAAUAAAAUAGGACGUGUGGUUCUAUUUUGUUGGUUUCUAGGACCGCCGUAAUGAUUAAUAGGGAUAGUCGGGGGCGUCAGUAUUCGGCUGUCAGAGGUGAAAUUCUUGGAUUUGCUGAAGACUAACUACUGCGAAAGCAUUCGCCAAGGAUGUUUUCAUUAAUCAGUGAACGAAAGUUAGGGGAUCGAAGACGAUCAGAUACCGUCGUAGUCUUAACCAUAAACUAUGCCGACUAGGGAUCGGACGGGGUUUCUUUUAUGACCCGUUCGGCACCUUACGAGAAAUCAAAGUUUUGGGU
This 1007-nucleotide ribosomal RNA is filed under the name Arthroderma chinense. RNAcentral's name for it is "SSU rRNA". It matches the Rfam family "Eukaryotic small subunit ribosomal RNA", at positions 95 to 1112 of the family's 1831-position model. Lineage: Eukaryota; Fungi; Ascomycota; Eurotiomycetes; Onygenales; Arthrodermataceae. The record is from RNAcentral.